This 72-nucleotide transfer RNA is filed under the name Danionella translucida. It matches the Rfam family "tRNA". Rfam says of the family: Transfer RNA (tRNA) molecules are approximately 80 nucleotides in length. Their secondary structure includes four short double-helical elements and three loops (D, anti-codon, and T loops). Further hydrogen bonds mediate the characteristic L-shaped molecular structure. tRNAs have two regions of fundamental functional importance: the anti-codon, which is responsible for specific mRNA codon recognition, and the 3' end, to which the tRNAs corresponding amino acid is attached (by aminoacyl-tRNA synthetases). tRNAs cope with the degeneracy of the genetic code in two manners: having more than one tRNA (with a specific anti-codon) for a particular amino acid; and 'wobble' base-pairing, i.e. permitting non-standard base-pairing at the 3rd anti-codon position. RNAcentral also lists the same sequence under 1 other name. Lineage: Eukaryota; Metazoa; Chordata; Actinopteri; Cypriniformes; Danionidae. The record is from Rfam by way of RNAcentral.
GGCUCGUUGGUCUAGGGGUAUGAUUCUUGCUUCGGGUGCGAGAGGUCCCGGGUUCAAAUCCUGUACGAGCCC